Long non-coding RNA from Ornithorhynchus anatinus (platypus), 365 nucleotides. RefSeq lists it as uncharacterized. NCBI's taxonomy places the organism in Eukaryota, Metazoa, Chordata, Mammalia, Monotremata, Ornithorhynchidae. The record is from RefSeq and is a predicted model, not a curated record. The transcript is spliced from 5 exons.
ACACCCUGCCCUAUAUAAUCCUCCAGGCUCUCACCUUCUUCAAAGUGUUUGUAUUAGUACUCUCUCUGGCUGUGGAAGUUCUAUGAAGCAUUUCCUUCCUCCAAUUGGUCCAGCAUCAGUUUAAGGGGGAGGACUCAGAUGAUACAAUUCAGGUCCAGCAUCAGUUUAAUGGGGAAAGCGCAGAUGAGACGAUACAGGAUUUAUUCAGCUCUUACCCGUGUCACUUCCUGGCGUGGACACAAGAAAAUCAGAUGGGUCGAAGUCCCAGUCCCCAUCCCACUCAGGUCUCACAGUCCAAAUUGGACUGAAUCGAAUUUCAUUGUCGCCACCAGGGAAAAAAACAUAGGAUUGCGAAGUUUUGGGCA